RNAcentral lists this ribosomal RNA (457 nucleotides) under uncultured bacterium. Its description in RNAcentral is "bacterial SSU rRNA". It matches the Rfam family "Bacterial small subunit ribosomal RNA", at positions 30 to 506 of the family's 1533-position model. The record is from RNAcentral.
UUGAACGCUGGCGGAAUGCUUUAUACAUGCAAGUCGAACGGAGACAGUAGCAAUAUUGUCUUAGUGGCGAACGGGUGAGUAACGCGUUGGUGAUCUGCCUCGAAGUGUGGAAUAACGUUCCGAAAGGAGCACUAAUACCGCAUGGUCUUCCGGUUUUUAGAAAACUGGAAGUAAAGGAGUAAUUCGCUUCGAGAGGAGCCUGCGUCCCAUCAGCUAGUUGGUAAGGUAAUGGCUUACCAAGGCUAUGACGGGUAGGGGACCUGAGAGGGUGGCCCCCCACAAUGGAACUGAAACACGGUCCAUACACCUACGGGUGGCAGCAGUAGGGAAUAUUAGUAAUGGGCGAAAGCCUGAACUAGCGACACCGCGUGUGCGAAGAAGGCCUUCGGGUUGUAAAGCACUUUUAGAGAGGAUGAGGAAGGACGGUACUCUCUGAAUAAGUCUCGGCUAACUACGU